GGUAAGGUGAUAUGAACCGUUAUAACCGGCGAUACCCGAAUGGGGAAACCCAGUGUGAUUCGUCACACUAUCAUUAACUGAAUCCAUAGGUUAAUGAGGCGAACCGGGGGAACUGAAACAUCUAAGUACCCCGAGGAAAAGAAAUCAACCGAGAUUCCCCCAGUAGCGGCGAGCGAACGGGGAGGAGCCCAGAGCCUGAAUCAGCAUGUGUGUUAGUGGAAGCGUCUGGAAAGGCGCGCGAUACAGGGUGACAGCCCCGUACACAAAAGCGCAUGUGCUGUGAGCUCGAUGAGUAGGGCGGGACACGUGGUAUCCUGUCUGAAUAUGGGGGGACCAUCCUCCAAGGCUAAAUACUCCUGACUGACCGAUAGUGAACCAGUACCGUGAGGGAAAGGCGAAAAGAACCCCGGCGAGGGGAGUGAAAAAGAACCUGAAACCGUGUACGUACAAGCAGUGGGAGCACAGGUUUACCUGUGUGACUGCGUACCUUUUGUAUAAUGGGUCAGCGACUUAUAUUCUGUAGCAAGGUUAACCGAAUAGGGGAGC
RNAcentral lists this ribosomal RNA (546 nucleotides) under Salmonella enterica. RNAcentral describes it as "partial 23S ribosomal RNA". It matches the Rfam family "Bacterial large subunit ribosomal RNA", at positions 80 to 666 of the family's 2925-position model. The record is from RNAcentral. Lineage: Bacteria; Pseudomonadati; Pseudomonadota; Gammaproteobacteria; Enterobacterales; Enterobacteriaceae.